GUCUAUGGCCAUGCUACCCUAAACAAGCCCGAUCCUGUCUGAUCUCAGAAGCUAAGCAGGGUUGGGCGUGGUUAGUACUUGGAUAGGAGACCAUCUAGGAAGACCAGAUACUGUAGGCG
This 119-nucleotide ribosomal RNA is filed under the name Pteropus alecto (black flying fox). Lineage: Eukaryota; Metazoa; Chordata; Mammalia; Chiroptera; Pteropodidae. The record is from RNAcentral.